AGAAGAUUGAAGAAAUAGAUGAAGCUUUAGUUACAUGAUUUAAAGGUUUUUUUUUAGUGUGUAACUAAGGAAUAGAAGAAAUGAAUAUAUCCAGCUUAAUUAUGCAAUUAUAAGAUGAAUCUGAACUAAGCAAGAGUACAUAACAAAACCUAGCAAAAGCAAAAAAAGCAAAAGAAGCAGAAUUGAGUAACCUUGAUGAAAUUGGGAAGUAAGAAGAAGAAACACAAGUGAUUUUGAUUUUGGGUAUUGCACUUGCAUAUGUAAUACUAGUAGUAUU
RNAcentral lists this unclassified non-coding RNA (277 nucleotides) under Hevea brasiliensis (rubber tree). The record is from RNAcentral. Lineage: Eukaryota; Viridiplantae; Streptophyta; Magnoliopsida; Malpighiales; Euphorbiaceae.